Molecule: long non-coding RNA, 2464 nt
Organism: Sapajus apella (tufted capuchin)
Lineage: Eukaryota; Metazoa; Chordata; Mammalia; Primates; Cebidae
Exons: 2
Source: RefSeq, a predicted model, not a curated record
AAAAAGCAUGAAAUAGGUUCAUACAGUGUCGUGUACAGGAAGAUAAAUUAUACUCAAAAUCUGGAAACUUUAGUUCUUGAUCAAGGAUUAGCAAAUGUUUUCCUUGAAGAGUCAGAUAGUAAGUAGUUUAGGCAAGGCAAGACCUACCAUCUCUGUUGCAGCUCCUCAUCUCUGCUGUUGUAACGUGAAAGCAGCCAUAGACAGUAAGCAAAUGAAUGAGUAAAGCUCUGUUCCCUUAAAAGUUUAUGCUCAAAAGCAAGUGGACAAUUAGAUUAAUCCUGCUGCUAGUAGUUUGCUACUACUCUUGUUUUAGACUUCACCUUGCCAUUUGUUAGUGUGUAACCCAAGGAUAAAUCAAACUUAGAGUUUCAUUUUUCUUAUCAGUGAAGUGAGAAUAAUAGCAGCAACCUCCUUGACAUUCCCAGUAUGAGGAAACAAGAAAAUGCUUAUGAACAUUUUUGGAACUGUCUAUUGUGUGAGAGUAGACUCAGCCUGCAAGUCUUGAGUUUCUGCUGUUUCCACUAAAGUAGGAGUGCUACUCUGAAGCACAACACAGCCUUGGUUACACCCUCCACAGCAUCCGCGAGGACACAAACAAGAGAACUUGACUGACAGCCAUUAUGCAUAAUUGACUAAGCAAGAAUCUAACUGCUGGCUUGCUCUCCCUCUGCAUAUAGGAUCCUCAUGGGGGCGCGAUUCCAGGAAUACGCCUGCCAGGCCCCGUCCUGGGCCACCUGUGUGUCUUGAAUCAUUCAUUACAAGGUGUCCUCAACUCAACUUGCAAAAUUGAAGUGUCUUAAGCAAGUUAAAGAACUCUGCAGAGAAGUGGCAUGGUGCCUCAGUAAAGCCUCGUGAGAAAUAGACAAUGAUCAGGUUCAGGCUUUGGGGCAAAAAGAAUUAAUGAGCUUCAGUGGGAGUGACACUCCGACUUGCCGUUGUCAGGACAUCACCCCACAUUACCCCUCAUCUUCUGUCUCCCACAGAAGGCCUCGCUUCCAAGCUGGAUUUGAGUCACUAUCAUUAUCCUCGGAACAGACUUUCUCACAGUUCUUUUUUGCAGACGGUAACAUACUGGGGUUAAUUUUAGAUAUCACCAACUUGGAAUUUAUUUUGGAUUCCAGAAGUUUACAUUUAGGUCUGCUAAAACGCACAACCUGCAGGGGUGGGUGUAUGUGUGUGCACGCGCGUGCGCGUGAAACCCAUCAACUUUCUUUAAUAACUCUGAAUAUGAGUUAUUUCAGAGUAUUUUCAAUGGAUUGCUAAUUUUGUGCCAAAAUUAAAAUGAAAUUUUAAACCAAAAGAACUUACAGAUGAAUUGCAGAGCUCAUUUGCUUUUUACCACAUUCUUUCAAUUGUGAUUUUUUUAUCCAUAUAUAAUGUGUGUGUGUGCAUAUAUAUAUAUAUAUAUAUAUAUAUAUAUUUGCCACACUUCAGUUUCUAAAGCUUUAUUUUUGGUCAUUGUAAGACACAGCAUGACCGAAUGUGCUAUGUUCUAAUCUUCAUAACAAUUCUGUAGGUUACCUCAGUUUCUUAGAAAUUAGAAAACAGAGGCUCAGAGAGAGGUGACUUAACUUGCUGAAGGCCAUUGGGCAGGAGAGUGGCAGAGCGGGCAUUGUGAUGAUGCUUCCUUGUUUCCAGGCUUGUGCUGUUUCCAUUAGCACCGUUUCCUCAGGGCUCUAUGCUUAGGCACAGUUCGCAGAAGGGCAUUUCCUAAUGGAAGCUCCCAAACGACCGUGUAUGCCACCGUGUGGGGUGAAAUGAACCUAUGUGAUGGAUAGAAUCUUCAGAUAGCUUGAAGAAGUUAAAAUAUGGACUCCUCAGACACAUUCAACCAAAUCAUAUUUGGUAGCAAGCACUGGGAAUGCAAAUUUCUGUGCACAUAGCCCACAAGUUUGCAAUGAUUGGCCAAUGGUGUGAUAUACAGACAUAGUAGAACUAUCAUUAGAUUUGAAUGUAGAAUGUGUGGAGUUUUGCUCUGGCUCUGUUAUUAGCUGGGUAUUUUAAAGGAAAACAGUUCAUCUCUCUGGGUCUUUCUGCAUUCAAAAAAUGAGGAAAAAAUCAUUUCGUUGUGAGAAUAACAUAUCAAAUAUUUGAAAGCACUUUAUGACGUACAAUAAAGUAUAAAUGAAGCUUUAGGCUUCCUGAAAAGUCAGACGUAGAAUAAACUUUCACUUAUCAAAUCAUAUUUUCCUCUAAUAAGUUCCAUCAUUUCAAUGAGUUGUUCAAGGGGGGAAAAUGUCUGGGUUCUCACAUGGAAUCAGAAUAACAUUUAAGAAUGGCUUAAUACUGGAUUCAGAAAGGAUUUAUCUGUUAUGGUUCCAUAGAUCCUGUGCUCGUCAUUUUCCUUCAAUAAUCUAGCAAAGAAUUAAUGGCACUCAAAAUCAAUCCACCUGCACUUUGCACAUAUUUUAAAUACCCAUUAAAACAAAUAGAACCAAGUCAAUAAAUAUUUUUUUUAACACUG